Molecule: ribosomal RNA, 449 nt
Filed under: uncultured bacterium
Lineage: Bacteria
Description: bacterial SSU rRNA
Rfam family: Bacterial small subunit ribosomal RNA
Source: RNAcentral
AGUCCAGACUCCUACGGGAGGCAGCAGUCGGGAAUAUUGCGCAAUGGAGGAAACUCUGACGCAGUGACGCCGCGUAUAGGAAGAAGGUUUUCGGAUUGUAAACUAUUGUCGUUAGGGAAGAUAAAAGACAGUACCUAAGGAGGAAGCCCCGGCUAACUACGUGCCAGCAGCCGCGGUAAUACGUAGGGGGCAAGCGUUAUCCGGAAUUAUUGGGCGUAAAGAGUACGUAGGUGGCAACCUAAGCGCAGGGUUUAAGGCAAUGGCUCAACCAUCGUUCGCCCUGCGAACUGGGAUGCUUGAGUGCAGGAGAGGAAAGCGGAAUUCCUAGUGUAGCGGUGAAAUGCGUAGAUAUUAGGAGGAACACCAGUGGCGAAGGCGGCUUUCUGGACUGUAACUGACACUGAGGUACGAAAGCGUGGGGAGCAAACAGGAUUAGAUACCCGCGUAUC